This 1246-nucleotide ribosomal RNA is filed under the name metagenome. Its description in RNAcentral is "bacterial SSU rRNA". It matches the Rfam family "Bacterial small subunit ribosomal RNA", at positions 199 to 1440 of the family's 1533-position model. The record is from RNAcentral.
CUAUAUAAGCUGUUGUUUGAAGAUGAGUCCGCGCACCAUUAGCUAGCUGGUGGGGUAAUGGCCUACCAGGGCAACGAUGGUUAGCUGGUCUGAGAGGAUGAUCAGCCACACUGGAACUGACACACGGUCCAGACUCCUACGGGAGGCAGCAGUGAGGAAUUUUGCGCAAUGGGGGCAACCCUGACGCAGCAACGCCGCGUGAGUGAAGAAGGCCUUUGGGUCGUAAAGCUCUGUCAACAGGGAAGAAAUUAUCUUGUAUUAAUAGUAUUUGAUAUUGACGGUACCUGUGGAGGAAGCAUCGGCUAACUCCGUGCCAGCAGCCGCGGUAAUACGGGGGAUGCAAGCGUUAUUCGGAAUCAUUGGGCGUAAAGGGCACGCAGGCGGUCUUGUCAGUCAGAUGUGAAAGCCCGGGGCUCAACCCCGGACGUGCAUUUGAAACAGCAAGACUUGAGUACGGUAGAGGAAAGCGGAAUUCCUGGUGUAGAGGUGAAAUUCAUAGAUAUCAGGAGGAACACCGGUGGCGAAGGCGGCUUUCUGGACCGAAACUGACGCUGAGGUGCGAAGGCGUGGGUAGCGAACAGGAUUAGAUACCCUGGUAGUCCACGCAGUAAACGUUGUACACUAGGUGUAGCGGGUAUUGACCCCUGCUGUGCCGCAGCUAACGCAUUAAGUGUACCGCCUGGGGAGUACGGUCGCAAGACUAAAACUCAAAGAAAUUGACGGGGGCCCGCACAAGCGGUGGAGCAUGUGGUUUAAUUCGACGCAACGCGAAGAACCUUACCCAGACUUGACAUCUUGAGAAUCUUUCAGAAAUGAAGGAGUGCCUUCGGGAGCUCAAAGACAGGUGCUGCAUGGCUGUCGUCAGCUCGUGUCGUGAGAUGUUUGGUUAAGUCCAGCAACGAGCGCAACCCUUAUCUUCAGUUGCCAGCACGUUAUGGUGGGAACUCUGAAGAGACUGCCCCGGUUGACGGGGAGGAAGGUGGGGAUGACGUCAAGUCCUCAUGGCCCUUAUGUCUGGGGCUACACACGUGCUACAAUGGUAUGUACAAAGGGCAGCAAGCCUGCGAGGGCAAGCCAAUCCCUAAAACAUAUCCCAGUCCGGAUUGGAGUCUGCAACUCGACUCCAUGAAGUUGGAAUCGCUAGUAAUCGUGGAUCAGCAUGCCACGGUGAAUACGUUCCCGGGCCUUGUACACACCGCCCGUCACACCAUGAGAGUUGAUUGUACCCGACGUUACUGGGCUAACC